RNAcentral lists this ribosomal RNA (343 nucleotides) under uncultured bacterium. RNAcentral describes it as "bacterial SSU rRNA". It matches the Rfam family "Bacterial small subunit ribosomal RNA", at positions 123 to 482 of the family's 1533-position model. The record is from RNAcentral.
AACCUGCCUCAUAGAGGGGGACAACAGUUGGAAACGACUGCUAAUACCGCAUAGUAAGAAGGAUUCGCAUGUUUUCUUCUUGAAAGAUUUAUCGCUAUGAGAUGGACCCGCGUCUGAUUAGCUAGUUGGUAAGGUAACGGCCUACCAAGGCGACGAUCAGUAGCCGGCUUGAGAGAGUGAACGGCCACAUUGGGACUGAGAUACGGCCCAGACUCCUACGGGAGGCAGCAGUGGGGAAUAUUGGGCAAUGGGCGCAAGCCUGACCCAGCAACGCCGCGUGAAGGAAGAAGGCUUUCGGGUUGUAAACUUCUUUUAAGAGGGAAGAGUAGAAGACGGUACCUCU